RNAcentral lists this ribosomal RNA (253 nucleotides) under uncultured bacterium. Its description in RNAcentral is "partial 16S ribosomal RNA". It matches the Rfam family "Bacterial small subunit ribosomal RNA", at positions 524 to 776 of the family's 1533-position model. The record is from RNAcentral.
UACGUAGGGUGCGAGCGUUAAUCGGAAUUACUGGGCGUAAAGCGUGCGUAGGCGGUUCGUUAAGUUCGUUGUGAAAGCCCCGGGCUCAACCUGGGAAUGGCAAUGGAAACUGGCGGGCUGGAGAAUGGCAGAGGGGGGUGGAAUUCCGCGUGUAGCAGUGAAAUGCGUAGAGAUGCGGAGGAACACCGAUGGCGAAGGCAGCCCCCUGGGCCAAUACUGACGCUCAGGCACGAAAGCGUGGGGAGCAAACAGG